Molecule: long non-coding RNA, 237 nt
Filed under: Phaseolus vulgaris (common bean)
Lineage: Eukaryota; Viridiplantae; Streptophyta; Magnoliopsida; Fabales; Fabaceae
Description: long non-coding RNA (PVUL_LNC004372)
Source: RNAcentral
AGUUGGUACCAAUCGGUGGGAAUGUCGAUACCCCUAUGGAGGAUGCAAGUGGGGAAAAUAUUGUAACCCUUCUAGCUGAAUCGGAGCUGUCGUUUGAGGAAAUAUUGGAACCACUUUAAGUGGUUUUAUUCUGGACCCGGGAUGUGGGCUUUGAACAAAUUAAAUUUCUUCACUCUUAUGUUUUUAAUAUUUUAACUGGCAGAACAUAGAGUAUUUAAAUUUGAAAUAUAAAUUUUU